This 314-nucleotide ribosomal RNA is filed under the name uncultured bacterium. RNAcentral describes it as "bacterial SSU rRNA". It matches the Rfam family "Bacterial small subunit ribosomal RNA", at positions 197 to 507 of the family's 1533-position model. The record is from RNAcentral.
UACUUGUAAGCUAUCGCUGAGGGAUGGGCCUGCGGGCCAUUAGCUUGUUGGUGAGGUAACGGCUCACCAAGGCUGUGAUGGCUAGCUGGUCUGAGAGGAUGACCAGCCACACUGGGACUGAGACACGGCCCAGACUCCUACGGGAGGCAGCAGUGGGGAAUAUUGCGCAAUGGGCGAAAGCCUGACGCAGCGACGCCGCGUGGGUGAUGAAGGCCUUCGGGUCGUAAAGCCCUGUCGCAGGGGAAGAAUAAGCAUCGGUAUAAUACGCCGGUGCCCUGACGGUACCCUGCAAGAAAGCACCGGCUAACUCCGUG